This 497-nucleotide ribosomal RNA is filed under the name uncultured bacterium. RNAcentral's name for it is "partial 16S ribosomal RNA". It matches the Rfam family "Bacterial small subunit ribosomal RNA", at positions 28 to 507 of the family's 1533-position model. The record is from RNAcentral.
GAUGAACGCUGGCGGCGUGCCUAAUACAUGCAAGUCGAGCGAACAGACGAGGAGCUUGCUCCUCUGACGUUAGCGGCGGACGGGUGAGUAACACGUGGAUAACCUACCUAUAAGACUGGGAUAACUUCGGGAAACCGGAGCUAAUACCGGAUAAUAUAUUGAACCGCAUGGUUCAAUAGUGAAAGACGGUUUUGCUGUCACUUAUAGAUGGAUCCGCGCCGCAUUAGCUAGUUGGUAAGGUAACGGCUUACCAAGGCAACGAUGCGUAGCCGACCUGAGAGGAUGAUCAGCCACACUGGAACUGAGACGCGGUCCAGACUCCUGCGGGAGGCAGCAGUAGGGAAUCUUCCGCAAUGGGCGAAAGCUUGACGGAGCAACGCCGCGUGGGUGAUGAAGGUCUUCGGAUCGUAAAACUCUGUUAUUAGGGAAGAACAAAUGUGUAAGUAACUAUGCACGUCUUGACGGUACCUAAUCAGAAAGCCACGGCUAACUACGUG